This 253-nucleotide ribosomal RNA is filed under the name uncultured bacterium. RNAcentral describes it as "partial 16S ribosomal RNA". It matches the Rfam family "Bacterial small subunit ribosomal RNA", at positions 524 to 776 of the family's 1533-position model. The record is from RNAcentral.
UACGAAGGGGGCUAGCGUUGUUCGGAAUUACUGGGCGUAAAGCGUGCGCAGGCGGCUUUGCAAGACAGAUGUGAAAUCCCCGGGCUUAACCUGGGAACUGCAUUUGUGACUGCAUGGCUGGAGUGCGGCAGAGGGGGAUGGAAUUCCGCGUGUAGCAGUGAAAUGCGUAGAUAUGCGGAGGAACACCGAUGGCGAAGGCAAUCCCCUGGGCCUGCACUGACGCUCAUGCACGAAAGCGUGGGGAGCAAACAGG